CCCUUAGAUGUUCUGGGCUGCACGCGCGCUACACUGACACUAUCAACGAGUGCUCCUGGUUUGAAAGGAUCGGGUAAUCUUUUGAAAUGGUGUCGUGAUGGGGAUAGAUCAUUGCAAUUAUUGAUCUUGAACGAGGAAUUCCUAGUAAAUGUGAGUCAUCAGCUCACGUUGAUUACGUCCCUGCCCUUUGUACACACCGCUCGUCGCUCCUACCGAUUGAGUGAACCGAUGAGUAGUCCGGAUUGCGAUCGACCUCGGUUAAUCGCGAGAAGUUCCGCAAAUCACUUCACUUAGAGGAAGGAGAAGUCGUAACA
This 314-nucleotide ribosomal RNA is filed under the name uncultured eukaryote. Its description in RNAcentral is "partial 18S ribosomal RNA". It matches the Rfam family "Eukaryotic small subunit ribosomal RNA", at positions 1470 to 1796 of the family's 1831-position model. The record is from RNAcentral.